Oncorhynchus tshawytscha (Chinook salmon) is the source of this 4904-nucleotide long non-coding RNA. NCBI's taxonomy places the organism in Eukaryota, Metazoa, Chordata, Actinopteri, Salmoniformes, Salmonidae. The record is from Ensembl.
GCAGCCUGGCAGCUCUGGCUGCUCCAUGCAGCCUGGCAGCUCCAUGCAGGCUGGCAGCUCUGGCUGCGCUGAACAGGCAGGAGAAUCCAGCAGCGCUGUAGAGGAGGAAGGCUCUGGCAGCGCUGAACAGACAGGAGACUCCGACAGCGCAGGAGAGGAGAAAGGCUCCGGCAGCGCUGGAGAGGCGAGGCGCACUGUAGGCCUGAUGCAUGGUGCUGGUACUGGUGGUACUGAACCGAGGACACGCACAGGAAGCCUGGUGCGGGGAGCUGCUACCGGAGGGCUGGGGUGUGGAGGUGGUACUGGAUAGACCGGACCGUGCAGGCGCACUGGAGCUCUUGAGCACCGAGCCUGCCCAACCUUACCUGGCUCGAUGCCCACUCUAGCCCGGCCGAUACCAGGAGCUGGAAUAUAUCGCACCGGGCUAUGCACCCGCACUGGGGACACCAUGCGCACCACUGCAUAACACGGUGCCUGCCCGGUCUCUCUAGCCCCCCGGUAACCGCAGGAAGUUUGCACAGGUCUCCUACCUGGCAUAGCCAUACUCCCUGUGAGCCCCCAAGAAAUUUUUGGGUCUGACUCUCGGGCUUCCGUCCGCGCCGCCGUGCUUGCUUCGCCAACCUCAUUCUCCGAUAACCUUCCGCGCACUGCUCCAUCGAAUCCCAGGCGGGCUCCGGCACUCUCCCUGGGUCGACCGCCCACCUGUCUAUCUCCUCCCAAGAAGUAUAGUCCAUACUGUACUCCUCUUUGGGCUGCUCCUGUUGCCUCCUCUCCUGCUGCACCUGUUGCCUCUCCUGCUGCUCCUGCCUGUUGACACGCUGCUUGGUCCGUUGGUGGUGGGUGAUUCUGUAAUGGUUUUCUAGGUGUGAAGGAGAGUCGGACCAAAAUGCAGCGUGUAGAUUGCGAUCCAUGUUUAAUGAAUAACAUAAACACGAAGUAACACAAACACUACAAAACAAAGAAUGUAAAUAACGAAACGAAAACCGAAACAGCCUAUACUUGUGUAACCUAACACAUAGACUGGAACAAGGACACUAAGGACAAUCACCCACGACAAACUCAAAGAAUAUGGCUGCCUAAAUAUGGUUCCCAAUCAGAGACAACGAUAAACACCUGCCUCUGAUUGAGAACCACUCCAGACAGCCAUAGACCUUGCUAGAUAACUCCACUAGCUACAAUCCCAAUACACACACACCAAAACCCCAAGACAAAACACACCACAAUACAAAAACCCCAUGCCACACCCUGGCCUGACCCAAUACAUGAAGAAAAACACAAAAUACUUAGACCAGGGCGUGACAAUAAGGUUUUGUUUUUGUAGUAAAUGUUUACGUUAAGGAGAUUUCCCUGUUCCCAGAGACAAGAUAUCUUAAAGGGGUACACUCACAUAUGGAAUAUUAGGAGUUUUAUUUUCUGAGUUUUAAUUAGACAAGUGAAUACAUUUUUUUUUAAAGAUAAAGGGUUCUUUAAUAUGUCUAAUAUGGUAUGGAACACGAAUGUAAAGGGGUGGUGUAACCUUUGACCAAGUUUCCAUGGCUCUCCCAGUUGGUCUGAUCAGCCACAGGGGGGAGCCAUUUGAAUAAUGAAUUUGUAGUCAUGGGUGAUACUGGUUUUUAAAGUAAAUGUAUUAUAAUGGAGUUUUUAGUACUGCAACAGGAACAGAAAUCAUAUUAAUCAUCGAUAAUAAAUGGCGGAAGAUGGUCCUUUUGAGGUUUGGACAGAACACCGUUAUUAAGCCAAUAGGGCAGGAAAACACAUGAUAGAAAAGGCGAUUUUAUAAGUAUUAAAAUUAUUUAUGAAAAUAAGUUGCAGUUCUUAGGGAUGGUAAAUUACGGUAGAUAAGGUAUCUCAAACUAGGCAACAUAUAUUAAAUUAUUGAUGUGACUGAUUUUUAAGUUUAACUCGUUAUUUUUAGAUAAAAUACAGUGGAUUCCCGAAGGGGAGAUUUCAUUAACACAGGAAAGAGAUAGGAUAUGGUUAGCAUUCGUUUUGGCUUUAAUUAAUAUUAGAAUAUUAGAAUAUUUUUAUUUAAAAAUAUUUAUUUUUAUUUAAAUAGUAUUAAAGUUUGACAGGGAUAUAUGACAUCUGUGGUGAUUCAGGAUUAGGGAUAGGAUCAAGAACCUUAAUUAACCUGUAUAAGGACUUUAGAAAUUGACACCAUAGACAUGUUUUUCUUUUUCUUUUUAAAUCAAUGAGUUUAGAUAAAGCCAAACAGUGAGACAUUUAGUUAAAAUUUGGAAGCAACAUAUAGUUGUUACAGAGCAGAGAGGAAAUGAACACAGAUACCUUUUAAAAGUAGAUAAGCCACUUGACAGAGAAUUGGUACAGGAUAAAUAUGAAUGGGCGCCAAAGGGAGAAUUGGACAUACAUGAUAAUGUCAGAACAUAAGGAUAAUUUACUAAUCUUACCUAAGUCAUUAUUUAGAGUAGAUAAGGUUGUUACCUGGGCAGAGCCAGAUAUCAAAAGGGGGAUGGGUAAGUUGUGGUCUAGGAUAGGACACUUAGUGGCCUAUUGGAUAAUAAUAAAAAAAUGUAGCUAAUAAGUAGGCAUAGAAGUUAAAGAUAUAAUCAGAUAGAACAAAUGAGAAACUGUUUGUUAACCAAACCUGUAUGUCCGAGAUUUAUGCACUACAGGUGAACUACAGGAUAAGGUGAUUCACUCAACCCAGUCCCCGAGGAGAAUAGAAGGGAAGCAGCACAGUGGGCGGGGCCAUACCAAGUACUCCUGGUGACUGCCUACGUGAGGAGGAUAGACGGGAAGCAGCACGGUGGGGAGGGGCCAUACCAAGUACUCCUGGUGACUGCCUACGCGAGGAGGAUAGACGGGAAGCAGCACGGUGGGGAGGGGCCAUACCAAGUACUCCUGGUGACUGCCUUCGCGAGGAGAAUAGAAGGGAAGCAGCACGGUGGGGAGGGGCCAUACCAAGUACUCCUGGUGACUGCCUUCGCGAGGAGAAUAGAAGGGAAGCAGCACGGUGGGUGGGGCCAUACCAAGUACUCCUGGUGACUGCCUUCGCGAGGAGGAUAGACGGGAAGCAGCACGGUGGGUGGGGCCAUACCAAGUACUCCCGGUGACUGCCUACGCGAGGAGGAUAGACGGGAAGCAGCACGGUGGGCGGGGCCAUACGAAGUACUCCUGGUGACUGUCUACGCGGUGAGGAUAGACGGGAAGCAGCACGGUGGGCGGGGCCAUACCAAGUACUCCUGGUGACUGUCUACGCGGUGAGGAUAGAUGGGAAGCAGCACGGUGGGCGGGGCCAUACCAAGUACUCCUGGUGACUGUCUACGCGGUGAGGAUAGACGGGAAGCAGCACGGUGGGCGGGGCCAUACCAAGUACUCCUGGUGACUGCCUACGUGAGGAGGAUAGGCGGGAAGCAGCACGGUGGGGAGGGGCCAUACCAAGUACUCCUGGUGACUGUCUACGCAGGAGAUUAGACGGGAAGCAGCACGGUGGGCGGGGCCAUACCAAGUACUCCUGGUGACUGCCUACGCGAGGAGGGUAGAAGGGAAGCAGCACGGUGGGCGGGGCCAUACCAAGUACUCCUGGUGACUGCCUACGUGAGGAGCAUAGACGGGAAGCAGCACGGUGGGCGGGGCCAUACCAAGUACUCCUGGUGACUGACUUCGCGGUGAGGAUAGACAGGAAGCAGCACGGUGGGCGGGGCCAUACCAAGUACUCCUGGUGACUGCCUUCGCGGUGAGGAUAGACGGGAAGCAGCACGGUGGGCGGGGCCAUACCAAGUACUCCUGGUGACUGCCUUCGCGAGGAGGAUAGACGGGAAGCAGCACGGUGGGCGGGGCCUUACCAAGUACUCCUGGUGACUGCCUUCGCGAGGAGGAUAGACGGGAAGCAGCACGGUGGGCGGGGCCUUACCAAGUACUCCUGGUGACUGCCUGCGCGGUGAGGAUAGACGGGAAGCAGCACGGUGGGGAGGGGCCAUACCAAGAACUCCUGGUGACUGCCUACGCGAGGAGGAUAGACGGGAAGCAGCACGGUGGGCGGGGCCAUACCAAGUACUCCUGGUGACUGCCUACGCGGUGAGGAAAGAUGGGAAGCAGCACGGUGGGGAGGGGCCAUACCAAGUACUCCUGGUGACUGCCUUCGCGGACUCUGGAGAAAUCAAUGAGAAAAUAGAUGGUGCGAUACGGACUGAUUCCAAGAUUUGACCAGUGGAAGGAUGAAUACAUGCCUCAAACCUAAAUAGAUUAAUGAAUCCAAAUUUUUCAUAUGCGAGGAACUUAUGUUUUUGAUAAGAGCAUUUUGAUAUUUAGAGAUGUUAGGUUGUAUCUUGUUUCGAUGAAGAUUGUAACGAAAAUUCUGAUGAGAAGGGUUAUGAUUCUGAUGUUGGCCUAAAACAGUCAAUGUGAAUGCAAGAAUUGGUUUAUGUUAGGUGGUAUUUUGAUAACAAUAAAUAUUUCUGAUAAAAAUAGAUGUAUGCUUUUUAAUAUUUUAAUAUAACUAGAUGUGUGCUUGGAUGUAUAAUAUUUAAUCAUAGUGUGGAUAUGUUAAGGGAUUUUUUAUCAAUAAUGACUAAUUAUGUAUACAUUUCAAUCAGGACUGAAUAAUCAGAAUACUAUUAUGUUACUGUAUAGAUGUAUGAAUUUUCUUUUAAUCCUAGUACUGAAUAUAAUGUGUGUAUAUAUCAUUAAGAAUUAGAACAAUGACUGUCUGUUCCUAGGUAGAAAUGAAUGAACUUAUCGUCAGACUGGCUAGAAUGCUUAUCUACACAGGAAGACCUUGGCUCUGUCAUAAAUUAUAUUAAAUUGGUGUGGGACGAUGUGGGAAGGCUUGAGAUACUGCCUUUGUACCAGGGUGGGAGAAGAGACGGGACAGUUCGAAAACUAAUGACGUCAUUUUCAGUUUAUAACCUGUGGUAAACUGUAUCGUGUUCAGUACUCUCGAG